CGGGUCGAGGGGCGCUGCGACGGAUGUUUCAUCCGCCACGCUCGGCCUGUCCCUGGUCGCAAGGGCGCCUCCCGCCG
Molecule: non-coding RNA, 77 nt
Filed under: Actinoplanes sp.
Lineage: Bacteria; Bacillati; Actinomycetota; Actinomycetes; Micromonosporales; Micromonosporaceae
Also listed under: 1 other name
Description: SAH sequence
Rfam family: SAH (S-adenosyl-L-homocysteine) riboswitch aptamer
Source: RNAcentral